This 459-nucleotide ribosomal RNA is filed under the name uncultured bacterium. Its description in RNAcentral is "partial 16S ribosomal RNA". It matches the Rfam family "Bacterial small subunit ribosomal RNA", at positions 338 to 795 of the family's 1533-position model. The record is from RNAcentral.
CCUACGGGAGGCUGCAGUGAGGAAUAUUGGUCAAUGGGAGAGAUCCUGAACCAGCCAAGCCGCGUGCAGGAAGACGGUCCUAUGGAUUGUAAACCUCUUUUGUCGGGGAGCAAAAGACGCCACGCGUGGCGUUCCGAGAGUACCCGAAGAAAAAGCAUCGGCUAACUCCGUGCCAGCAGCCGCGGUAAUACGGAGGAUGCGAGCGUUAUCCGGAUUUAUUGGGUUUAAAGGGGGCGCAGGCGGAAGGUCAAGUCAGCGGUAAAAUUGAGGGUCUCAACCUCUUCGUGAGGUGGAAACUGGUUUUCUUGAGUGAGCGGGAAGUAGGCGGAAUGCGUGGUGUAGCGGUGAAAUGCAUAGAUAUCACGCAGAACUCCGAUUGCGAAGGCAGCAUACCGGCGCUCAACUGACGCUCAUGCACGAAGGUGUGGGUAUCGAACAGGAUUAGAUACCCUGGUAGUC